Molecule: ribosomal RNA, 253 nt
Filed under: uncultured bacterium
Lineage: Bacteria
Description: partial 16S ribosomal RNA
Rfam family: Bacterial small subunit ribosomal RNA
Source: RNAcentral
UACGGAGGGAGCUAGCGUUGUUCGGAAUUACUGGGCGUAAAGCGCACGUAGGCGGCUAUUCAAGUCGGGGGUGAAAGCCCGGGGCUCAACCCCGGAACUGCCUUCGAAACUAGAUAGCUAGAAUCUUGGAGAGGCGAGUGGAAUUCCGAGUGUAGAGGUGAAAUUCGUAGAUAUUCGGAAGAACACCAGUGGCGAAGGCGACUCGCUGGACAAGUAUUGACGCUGAGGUGCGAAAGCGUGGGGAGCAAACAGG